AUGAACGCUGGCGGCGUGUCUAAGGCAUGCAAGUCGAAUGCUCCGCAAGGGGCAUGGCAAACGGGUGCGUAACACAUUGGUAACCUACCUUCGAGUCGGGCAUAACUCCGCGAAAGCGGAAAUAACUCCCGAUGGACAUGAGGGGGCACAAGUCAUUCUCAUGUAAAGUUUAUCGCUCGAAGAGGGGCCUAUGGCCUAUCAGCUUGUUGGUGAGGUAAUGGCUCACCAAGGCAACGACGGGUAGCGGGUGUGAGAGCACGACCCGCCUCACUGGGACUGAGACACUGCCCAGACGCCUACGGGCGGCUGCAGUCGAGAAUAUUCCUCAAUGCACGAAAGUGUGAAGGAGCGACGCCGCGUGCCAGAUGAAGGCCUUCGGGUUGUAAAUGGCUUUUUUUAGGGACGAACAAAUGACGGUACCUAAAGAAUAAGUGGUUGCUAACUCUGU
This 448-nucleotide ribosomal RNA is filed under the name uncultured bacterium. RNAcentral describes it as "bacterial SSU rRNA". It matches the Rfam family "Bacterial small subunit ribosomal RNA", at positions 29 to 506 of the family's 1533-position model. The record is from RNAcentral.